This is a non-coding RNA of Candidatus Bathyarchaeota archaeon RBG_16_57_9, 72 nucleotides long. Lineage: Archaea; Thermoproteati; Candidatus Bathyarchaeota. The record is from Rfam.
GGGCCGGUAGAUCAGCGGCAGAUCGCCCGCUUGGCAUGCGGGAGGUCGCGAGUUCAAAUCUCGCCCGGUCCA